AUUGAACGCUGGCGGCAGGCUAACACAUGCAAGUCGAACGGUAACGGGAAGGAAGCUUGCUUUCUUUGCUGACGAGUGGCGGACGGGUGAGUAAUGCUUGGGAAUAUGUUUUAUGGAGGGGGAUAACUACGGGAAACUGUAGCUAAUACCGCGUAAUAUCGAGAGAUUAAAGUGUGGGACCGCAAGGCCACAUGCCAUGAAGUGAGCCCAAGUGGGAUUAGGUAGUUGGUGGGGUAAAGGCUUACCAAGCCGUCGAUCUCUAGCUGGUCUGAGAGGAUGACCAGCCACACUGGGACUGAGACACGGUCCAGACUCCUACGGGAGGCAGCAGUGGGGAAUAUUGCACAAUGGGCGCAAGCCUGAUGCAGCCAUGCCGCGUGAAUGAAGAAGGCCUUCGGGUUGUAAAGUUCUUUCGGUGGUGAGGAAGGUUGGCGUGUUAAUACCACGUUGAUUUGACGUUAGCCACAGAAGAAGCACCGGCUAACUCCGUGCCAGCAGCCGCGGUAAUACGGAGGGUGCGAGCGUUAAUCGGAAUAACUGGGCGUAAAGGGCACGCAGGCGGAUACUUAAGUGAGGUGUGAAAGCCCUGGGCUUAACCUAGGAAUUGCAUUUCAUACUGGGUAUCUAGAGUAUUUUAGAGAGGGGUAGAAUUCCACGUGUAGCGGUGAAAUGCGUAGAGAUGUGGAGGAAUACCGAAGGCGAAGGCAGCCCCUUGGGGGAAUACUGACGCUCAUGUGCGAAAGCGUGGGGAGCAAACAGG
RNAcentral lists this ribosomal RNA (760 nucleotides) under uncultured bacterium. RNAcentral describes it as "bacterial SSU rRNA". It matches the Rfam family "Bacterial small subunit ribosomal RNA", at positions 28 to 776 of the family's 1533-position model. The record is from RNAcentral.